GUUUGAUACAAAAGUGUUUGAAACUCAAACGCUUUUCCACUUGCGUUUGAUAAGUCAAACAUUAUUUCUGCUUAAAUGUGUAUAAUUCAAACACUUAAUUACGAUGAAGCCAUUUUUAGAGUGUAUAGGAUAUUUUAGGAAUAUUGUGGGAAAUAUUAUAAGAAAUAAGAUAUUAUAAGAAUAUUCAUUGAAAUAUCAUUAGAAUAUUCUGAGUACUUACCAAAUAACAUACCAAUAACAUUUAAAACAUUCGUGGAACUAUUUAUGAAUAUUCUUUUCGAAUAUUCUUAGAAUAUAUGGAAAUCAUGUUGUUAGAAUAUUCUCCGAAUAUUUUGUGCUGUAUGAGGAACAAUUCGAAAGAUAGCCGAGAGAUGUGCAAUUCGAUGUGCCUACACGCGCUUGGAGACGCGCACAAACGAUGCAGUGGCGGGUUAAUCUACAAGAAACGUAUCACGUAACCGCCUCUUAUUGCAAGAGAGAAGGAGGAGAAGGGAAUGGAGGAGGCGGGCCGCAGAGGCAACAGGGAUGUAAAUACGUACCAGGAGCAGAAGGGAUGUAAAUACGUACGGACGUUUUGAAACGCCGGUGGCUCCCACGAGACGAGGCCUGAAUGGUCGAACGAGCGCGCUUCCGCUUUCAGCACGAAAAUGGCGCCAGAGGUGGCCGCCAUUAGCCAGAGGAGGAGGAGGAGGAGGUAUUAAACUCGGCUUGUUGCUUAACGACGACGACGACAACGACGGCGACGAGCAAAACGGAGCCGAUAAUCGUUCCCGCGACAUGAGAGAGCCAGCAAAUGCGGUUCUUCUGGAUCAACGGGGAUUUUAGCGUGUUAAUUAUUUCAAUUCCGCACUGCCUCGUCGUUGCGCUUUCGACUUUCGACAAUCGAACUCACCGUUGUUAUUAUUAUUCCUGCAUUCGCGUGCAUUGAAAUUGGGAUGUUGAAUGACACGAUUUCAUGGAGAGAUUAAAUCGAAUGAAAGAUGAGAGUUAUUGUUACACAUAUAUUUCACCGAUCUCUGCAUUCUUUUUUUUCAAUUGCUUUUUGCCGCAACGUAUAUGUAUACACGUAUGCACGGUUUAUUAUUUCCUGACACUAAAACAUUACAAUUACCGAAAUGAAUGGCGGAAAAAGAAUGGUCAAUCGUAACAAAAACUUCAAUAACGAAAUCUUAUAUUUAAAAACAGAAUAGCACAAUUCCGCCCGUUCGAAAAACCAAUUAAAAAAACCGUUAUUACUUUAGCUUCCAUUUCCUGUAUAUGCAAUUAUGUUUUUAAGAAAAACAAUCCUUCUAUACGCGAUCAAUAAUAUAUAUAUAUAAAAAAAUACCAUUGAUAUUUUACAUAUCUGUCAUCAUACUUUAUUUGUAUGUGAGUCAAUAUAGUGUAUAAAAAUCCAUAAUAUCACGUUCCGAUAAAGCAACGCAACGCAACGCUAUUUUAUUCUAUUUUAUAAACGUUAUUUAAUCAAUGUAACCACAUCCAAUUUCUGACGCACAAGUUUAUGUAACGAUCACACAUAUAUAGGGUAAGGUUGCCACCAUUGGACCGUUGCUUUCAUUGAACCACUAAGGUAUUUCGAAAACUAAAACGAUUGUCGGCAAAAGAAAGAGAUAGAACGCACGUGCACGCGUCCCCCCGCUAUCCUCCUCACGCUCAGUUCCAUUGCGGCCGCUACUGCAGAGUGACACGCGGCAGUAGGGUUUAAGUACAAAAAAAAAUAAAACGUUUGAAAUAACCAUUCAGGUAUAUCUACUAAUCGUGAUUUUGUCUUAUUUUUAAUAUUCCCUCAUGAAAGUAUAUUGAUUUGAGGUGUUAUUACAUCGUUUAGUUAAAUAUUCAGAUCUAACUUCAAAAUAAAAAAUCGUUAUCGUAAAAUUUAUACCUAAUUGCUAAUGAUUGAACCACCUAGUGGUUACUAUGAUUGGACCAAUCCAAUGAAGGCUACUAAGUGACUUUGUUUUUUAUUCUUUAUUUAGAAUGGCACAGUUGUCUCAAAAUGAAAUAGAGUCACAUCGAGUACGAAAAGAGCGUAGUAAGUACUACACAUGGAACGAAAUUAGUAUGAAGCUUGCCAUAGAAGCUUUGCGGAAAAAAGAGAUCGGUUUAAAUGCAGCCAGCAGAAUAUAUUCUGUACCGAAAACAACACUAAGACGACGAUUACUAGAGUGUGCUUGUGUGAGCAAAGGUAAAAAAAGAUACUUUUGCCCAGCCUGCAAAAAGUAAUAUAAAGUUACAUAAUUCUACCUUUCAUUGUCGUUUUAAAAUUGACAAAGAUUUAUUUGUGUUAUGUUUAAAAAGAUUUAUGUUUAAAAAGAAUGAUAUUGUUUUUGUUAGUUUGAAUUUUUAAAUUACGUAUAUUAAUAUAAUAACUAUCAGUUGUUGAUUGAUUUUGAUUGAAGUUGUUCCUUUGUAACAGUUGAUCUCUUAAAAUAUCUCUUUUUUCUAUAAUUGUAGCGUAAUAUUUUAUAAACAAUGUAGGUUAGAAACGUACUUCUAAGGUAUUUGUGACUGAUUAAUAAAUAUCUAUACUAGAUUAUUUUGAUAUUUUUUUUGCCUUAGUUUCUUUUAUUGGACCGAUGGUCCAAUGAAUGAAACCAAGUGGACCAAAGAAGGUGCCAAAGGUCCAAUCAUGGAAACUUUUAAUCUUUUUAUAUUUUUUAUUUUCUUUUUUAAAUGUUGAUUGAUAGAUGCUGAGACUUGUUGAUUUUAAAGCUUAACAAAUGUCACUUCAAAUCACAUUCUUAGUUUCACUUUAUUACUUAUAAUUUCAAAUUAGUAGACCUUCAAAUAAAGGGGUUCCAAUGGUGGCAA
Long non-coding RNA from Ooceraea biroi (clonal raider ant), 2811 nucleotides. RefSeq lists it as uncharacterized. The record is from RefSeq and is a predicted model, not a curated record. NCBI's taxonomy places the organism in Eukaryota, Metazoa, Arthropoda, Insecta, Hymenoptera, Formicidae.